UACGUAGGGUGCAAGCGUUGUUCGGAAUCACUGGGCGUAAAGGGAGCGUAGGCGGGAUCGUAAGUUAGGAGUUUAAUGCAUGGGCUUAACCCAUGACCUGCUCUUAAUACUGCGGUUCUUGAGUAUGGGAGAGGGCGAUGGAAUUCCAGGUGUAGCGGUGGAAUGCGUAGAUAUCUGGAAGAACACCAGUAGCGAAGGCGGUCGCCUGGCCCAAUACUGACGCUGAGGCUCGAAAGCUAGGGGAGCAAACAGGAUUAGAUACCCCCGUA
This 269-nucleotide ribosomal RNA is filed under the name uncultured prokaryote. Its description in RNAcentral is "partial 16S ribosomal RNA". It matches the Rfam family "Bacterial small subunit ribosomal RNA", at positions 524 to 792 of the family's 1533-position model. The record is from RNAcentral.